UCGAGGAUCUUCGGCAAUGGGCGCAAGCCUGACCGAGCGACGCCGCGUGUGCGAUGAAGGCCUUCGGGUUGUAAAGCACUGUCGAGGGGGAGGAAGCCGCAAGGUUGACCUAUCCCUGGAGGAAGCACGGGCUAAGUUCGUGCCAGCAGCCGCGGUAAGACGAACCGUGCAAACGUUGUUCGGAAUCACUGGGCUUAAAGGGCGCGUAGGCGGGCCAUCAAGUCCGGGGUGAAAUCCCCCAGCUUAACUGGGGAAGUGCCCUGGAUACUGGUGGCCUCGAGGAGGGUAGGGGCAUCUGGAACGUUGGGUGGAGCGGUGAAAUGCGUUGAUAUCCAACGGAACUCCGGUGGCGAAAGCGAGGUGCUGGACCCUUUCUGACGCUGAUGCGCGAAAGCCAGGGGAGCAAACGG
RNAcentral lists this ribosomal RNA (410 nucleotides) under uncultured bacterium. Its description in RNAcentral is "bacterial SSU rRNA". It matches the Rfam family "Bacterial small subunit ribosomal RNA", at positions 355 to 775 of the family's 1533-position model. The record is from RNAcentral.